UACGUAGGGUGCGAGCGUUGUCCGGAAUUAUUGGGCGUAAAGAGCUCGUAGGCGGUGUGUCACGUCGGCCGUGAAAACCUGCAGCUUAACUGUGGGCGUGCGGUCGAUACGGGCAUCACUGGAGUUCGGCAGGGGAGACUGGAAUUCCUGGUGUAGCGGUGAAAUGCGCAGAUAUCAGGAGGAACACCGGUGGCGAAGGCGGGUCUCUGGGCCGAUACUGACGCUGAGUGCGCGAAAGCCAGGGGAGCAAACGGG
RNAcentral lists this ribosomal RNA (255 nucleotides) under uncultured bacterium. RNAcentral describes it as "partial 16S ribosomal RNA". It matches the Rfam family "Bacterial small subunit ribosomal RNA", at positions 524 to 776 of the family's 1533-position model. The record is from RNAcentral.